This 230-nucleotide ribosomal RNA is filed under the name Ischnocnema parva. Its description in RNAcentral is "partial 12S ribosomal RNA". Lineage: Eukaryota; Metazoa; Chordata; Amphibia; Anura; Brachycephalidae. The record is from RNAcentral.
UUUGGUCCUAAUUUUAAAAUCUGUUCUUUCUUAACUUACACAUGCAAGUUUCCCCACCCCCGNGAGUACGCCUCUACCCCCACCCGGGUUAACAAGGUCGGAAUUAGGCACUAUGAUUANCCCAAAACACCUAGCAAUAGCCACACCCAUAAGGGUUACAGCAGUGAUCAACAUUANUAAUAAGUGUCAACUAGAUCUAGCUAAAGAAAACAGAGCCGGCAAAUACGGUG